GGAGGGGUGGCCGAGCGGUUUAAGGCAGUGGUCUUGAAAACCACCGAUGGGUAAAUCCAUCCGAGAGUUCGAAUCUCUCUCCCUCCG
Molecule: transfer RNA, 87 nt
Filed under: Arsenophonus sp.
Lineage: Bacteria; Pseudomonadati; Pseudomonadota; Gammaproteobacteria; Enterobacterales; Morganellaceae
Description: tRNA-Ser
Rfam family: tRNA
About the family: Transfer RNA (tRNA) molecules are approximately 80 nucleotides in length. Their secondary structure includes four short double-helical elements and three loops (D, anti-codon, and T loops). Further hydrogen bonds mediate the characteristic L-shaped molecular structure. tRNAs have two regions of fundamental functional importance: the anti-codon, which is responsible for specific mRNA codon recognition, and the 3' end, to which the tRNAs corresponding amino acid is attached (by aminoacyl-tRNA synthetases). tRNAs cope with the degeneracy of the genetic code in two manners: having more than one tRNA (with a specific anti-codon) for a particular amino acid; and 'wobble' base-pairing, i.e. permitting non-standard base-pairing at the 3rd anti-codon position.
Source: RNAcentral